AAGUUUAGGUAAUCAUKAAACCAAGAGCCUUCAAAGCCCUAAAAAGAGACAAACUCUAACUUCUG
This 65-nucleotide transfer RNA is filed under the name Rhoptropus afer. Its description in RNAcentral is "tRNA-Trp". Lineage: Eukaryota; Metazoa; Chordata; Lepidosauria; Squamata; Gekkonidae. The record is from RNAcentral.